UGGCGAACUGGUGAGUAACACGUGGGAAACCUGCCCAGAAGCGGGGGAUAACACCUGGAAACAGAUGCUAAUACCGCAUAACAACUUGGACCGCAUGGUCCGAGUUUGAAAGAUGGCUUCGGCUAUCACUUUUGGAUGGUCCCGCGGCGUAUUAGCUAGAUGGUGAGGUAACGGCUCACCAUGGCAAUGAUACGUAGCCGACCUGAGAGGGUAAUCGGCCACAUUGGGACUGAGACACGGCCCAAACUCCUACGGGAGGCAGCAGUAGGGAAUCUUCCACAAUGGACGAAAGUCUGAUGGAGCAACGCCGCGUGAGUGAAGAAGGGUUUCGGCUCGUAAAACUCUGUUGUUAAAGAAGAACAUAUCUGAGAGUAACUGUUCAGGUAUUGACGGUAUUUAACCAGAAAGCCACGGCUAACUACGUGCCAGCAGCCGCGGUAAUACGUAGGUGGCAAGCGUUGUCCGGAUUUAUUGGGCGUAAAGCGAGCGCAGGCGGUUUUUUAAGUCUGAUGUGAAAGCCUUCGGCUCAACCGAAGAAGUGCAUCGGAAACUGGGAAACUUGAGUGCAGAAGAGGACAGUGGAACUCCAUGUGUAGCGGUGAAAUGCGUAGAUAUAUGGAAGAACACCAGUGGCGAAGGCGGCUGUCUGGUCUGUAACUGACGCUGAGGCUCGAAAGUAUGGGUAGCAAACAGGAUUAGAUACCCUGGUAGUCCAUACCGUAAACGAUGAAUGCUAAGUGUUGGAGGGUUUCCGCCCUUCAGUGCUGCAGCUAACGCAUUAAGCAUUCCGCCUGGGGAGUACGGCCGCAAGGCUGAAACUCAAAGGAAUUGACGGGGGCCCGCACAAGCGGUGGAGCAUGUGGUUUAAUUCGAAGCUACGCGAAGAACCUUACCAGGUCUUGACAUACUAUGCAAAUCUAAGAGAUUAGACGUUCCCUUCGGGGACAUGGAUACAGGUGGUGCAUGGUUGUCGUCAGCUCGUGUCGUGAGAUGUUGGGUUAAGUCCCGCAACGAGCGCAACCCUUAUUAUCAGUUGCCAGCAUUAAGUUGGGCACUCUGGUGAGACUGCCGGUGACAAACCGGAGGAAGGUGGGGAUGACGUCAAAUCAUCAUGCCCCUUAUGACCUGGGCUACACACGUGCUACAAUGGAUGGUACAACGAGUUGCGAACUCGCGAGAGUAAGCUAAUCUCUUAAAGCCAUUCUCAGUUCGGAUUGUAGGCUGCAACUCGCCUACAUGAAGUCGGAAUCGCUAGUAAUCGCGGAUCAGCAUGCCGCGGUGAAUACGUUCCCGGGCCUUGUACACAC
This 1307-nucleotide ribosomal RNA is filed under the name Lactiplantibacillus paraplantarum. RNAcentral describes it as "bacterial SSU rRNA". It matches the Rfam family "Bacterial small subunit ribosomal RNA", at positions 96 to 1390 of the family's 1533-position model. The record is from RNAcentral. Lineage: Bacteria; Bacillati; Bacillota; Bacilli; Lactobacillales; Lactobacillaceae.